CCUACGGGAGGCAGCAGUGGGGAGUCUUGCGCAAUGGGCGAAAGCCUGACGCAGCAACGCCGCGUGCGGGAUGAAGGCCUUCGGGCUGUAAACCGCUUUCAGCAGGAACGAAAAUGACGGUACCUGCAGAAGAAGGAGCGGCCAACUACGUGCCAGCAGCCGCGGUGACACGUAGGCUCCAAGCGUUGUCCGGAUUUAUUGGGCGUAAAGAGCUCGUAGGCGGUUGAGUAAGUCGGGUGUGAAAACUCUGGGCUUAACCCGGAGACGCCAUCCGAUACUGCUCUGACUUGAGUUCAGGAGGGGAGUGGGGAAUUCCUAGUGUAGCGGUGAAAUGCGCAGAUAUUAGGAGGAACACCGGUGGCGAAGGCGCCACUCUGGACUGAAACUGACGCUGAGGAGCGAAAGCAUGGGUAGCAAACAGGAUUAGAUACCCUGGUAGUCCAUGCCGUAAACGGUGGGCACUAGGUGUGGGUUCCAACUAACGGGAUCCGCGCCGUCGCUAACGCAUUAAGUGCCCCGCCUGGGGAGUACGGUCGCAAGACUAAAACUCAAAGGAAUUGACGG
This 564-nucleotide ribosomal RNA is filed under the name uncultured Actinomycetes bacterium. Its description in RNAcentral is "bacterial SSU rRNA". It matches the Rfam family "Bacterial small subunit ribosomal RNA", at positions 338 to 916 of the family's 1533-position model. The record is from RNAcentral. Lineage: Bacteria; Bacillati; Actinomycetota; Actinomycetes.